GAUGAACGCUGGCGGCGUGCCUAAUACAUGCAAGUCGAGCGAACAGACGAGGAGCUUGCUCCUCUGACGUUAGCGGCGGACGGGUGAGUAACACGUGGCUAACCUACCUAUAAGACUGGGAUAACUUCGGGAAACAGGAGCUAAUACCGGAAAAUAUAUUGAACCGCAUGGUUCAAUAGUGAAAGACGGUAUUGCUGUCACCUAUAGAUAGAACCGCGACGCAGUAUCUAGCUGGUAAGAGAAAGGGUUACCAAGGCAACGAUGCGUAGCCGACCGCAGAGGCUUAUCGACCACACUGCAACUGAGGCACGAUCCAGCCUCCGACUGGAGGCUGCAGCAGGGAAUCUUCCGCAACGGGGGAAAGCCUGACAAAGCAACACCGAGGGAGUGAUGAAAGUCUUCGGUUCGUAAGACUCUGUUAUUAGUUACGAUCGAAUGUGUAUUUGACGAGGAACGUCUGGACGCUACCUUGUCAGAAUGCCACCGCUAACUGCGUG
Molecule: ribosomal RNA, 497 nt
Filed under: uncultured bacterium
Lineage: Bacteria
Description: partial 16S ribosomal RNA
Rfam family: Bacterial small subunit ribosomal RNA
Source: RNAcentral